Molecule: ribosomal RNA, 253 nt
Filed under: uncultured bacterium
Lineage: Bacteria
Description: partial 16S ribosomal RNA
Rfam family: Bacterial small subunit ribosomal RNA
Source: RNAcentral
UACGUAGGGUGCAAGCGUUGUCCGGAAUUAUUGGGCGUAAAGAGCUCGUAGGCGGUUUGUCGCGUCUGCUGUGAAAACUCGGGGCUUAACUCCGGGCCUGCAGUGGGUACGGGCAGACUAGAGUGCGGUAGGGGAGACUGGAAUUCCUGGUGUAGCGGUGAAAUGCGCAGAUAUCAGGAGGAACACCGGUGGCGAAGGCGGCUCACUGGCCCGGAACUGACGCUGAGACGCGAAAGCGUGGGGAGCAAACAGG